GCUUCAAUAGUUCAAUGGUAGAACAAUAUACUGUUAAUAUAUAUAUGCUAGUUCAAUUCUAGCUUGAAGCG
RNAcentral lists this transfer RNA (71 nucleotides) under Zhuliangozyma blackwelliae. Its description in RNAcentral is "Candida blackwelliae tRNA-Asn". It matches the Rfam family "tRNA". From Rfam's summary of the family: Transfer RNA (tRNA) molecules are approximately 80 nucleotides in length. Their secondary structure includes four short double-helical elements and three loops (D, anti-codon, and T loops). The record is from RNAcentral. Lineage: Eukaryota; Fungi; Ascomycota; Pichiomycetes; Serinales; Debaryomycetaceae.